RNAcentral lists this ribosomal RNA (253 nucleotides) under uncultured bacterium. Its description in RNAcentral is "partial 16S ribosomal RNA". It matches the Rfam family "Bacterial small subunit ribosomal RNA", at positions 524 to 776 of the family's 1533-position model. The record is from RNAcentral.
UACAGAGGAUGCAAGCGUUAUCCGGAAUGAUUGGGCGUAAAGCGUCUGUAGGUGGCUUUUUAAGUCCGCCGUCAAAUCCCAGGGCUCAACCUGGGAAUGGCCGUUGAAACUGGCGAACUGGAGUGUGGCAGAGGGGGGUGGAAUUCCGCGUGUAGCAGUGAAAUGCGUAGAGAUGCGGAGGAACACCGAUGGCGAAGGCAGCCCCCUGGGCUGACACUGACGCUCAGGCACGAAAGCGUGGGGAGCAAACAGG